RNAcentral lists this ribosomal RNA (119 nucleotides) under Scophthalmus maximus (turbot). The record is from RNAcentral. Lineage: Eukaryota; Metazoa; Chordata; Actinopteri; Pleuronectiformes; Scophthalmidae.
GCUUACGGCCAUAACAGCCUGAAUACGCCCGAAUCUCGCUGAUCUCGGAAGCUAAGCAGGGUCGGGCCUGGUUAGUACUUGGAUGGGAGACCGCCUGGGAAUACCAGGUGCUGUAAGCA